This is a long non-coding RNA of Quercus lobata, 1344 nucleotides long. RefSeq lists it as uncharacterized. The record is from RefSeq and is a predicted model, not a curated record. NCBI's taxonomy places the organism in Eukaryota, Viridiplantae, Streptophyta, Magnoliopsida, Fagales, Fagaceae. The transcript has 5 exons.
UUUAACAAGAGAUUAGAGAUUUGGGGGUGUCCCAAUCUGACGUCGGUUCCCGAAGGGAUGAGUCAACUCACCUCUUUACAGACCCUGAAUAUUUGUGGUUGUCCCCAAUUAGAGCAAAGAUGUGAGAAGGAAAAUGGAGAGGAUUGGGCCAAUAUUUCUCACUUCCCUGAAAGAACAAGAGGAUUUCAAAUGGGAGAAUCACAGAGAUUUAAGCCAAGCUUGAGCAAUUUUCUUGCACACGAAAGGACGGAGACGCACACCUUGCUGCUUUAGGGAAGCGCUCAGAGGGAAGAAGACAGCAAGAGGGAAAUCACUGUGAUCGUGGCAUGUACUGUAGGAGAAGAUGGAGACGUCAUUAUGGAUUUAGAGCAAAUGGAUGAGCUAGAAGAAGAAAUAGUUUGAAGCACAAAGCAAACUUUGAAAGGGUGCCAGCAGGAAACAGGGGGCAAUUGGUAAAAAUUGCUCACCUAGAGUUUGGAGGGAAUGAACCUGUCCAUCAGAGUUGGUGCUUAUUCAAAAGUUUAGGGCUCUGUAAUUGUGCAACAAGCCAGCUAUUGAAGCAUGGGUAAAUUAAGGUAAUUUUAGCUGUACAUAAGAAAUUACUGUGAAAUCUGCCGGAGCUGCUGCCAUGGAUUGUGUACAAGAAGUUGAAGAAGAAAUAUAACAUCACCAGCAUGAAGCUGCUUAAACUUGGGCUGAUUCUAUAAAUGGCUGGGAGCUACUCCCUAUGCAUUCAAGUGCAAGAUAUGCACAUUAUAUUACAAACAUUGGUUCCACGCAGAAACCUUCUAAUACAAGUUUCAUCGUGGGAGGUGAAUAUAAGAAACAAGACGGUCUGCAACAUCAUUUCAAAGUUUCUUGAAUUAUUGGGCUUUGAUGAUUUAAUUGGUUUCAAAAGUGAUGGGGAAAAAGAAUGUCAUGAUAUUGAUGAGCCAAGCUUGUGGUAUGGGAGGAGGAUUGGGUUCAAAGAUGAUUGGAUUUGCAGAGAAGACAGCCCUCAUGAGUCAUGACUGUAAUCAUGUUUGGAAGCAAGGGUGUGUUGAGUUAUAUACUAGAAACCAGUUGCAUUGAUGUUAACAAGGCUUGUGGUUUGGAUGGGCUUUUGCACUACAUUUUGUUGCUGAUGUGGACAUUGCCAUUUCAACUGAGCUUACUAAGCUCUUGCUUGAUCCUUCUGCACUUCAAUGUCUUGUUGCAUACUGUUGACUAUGUACAGUACACCUUGUUCGUUUUAUUCUUGCUGUUUCUUUGCUCUGUAGUAAUUGUAUUUAAAUAAAUAUAGUGUAAUAGAACAUAUAUAUAUUUGGUGUGGAUGUUGAUUUCUAUAAUCAUGCAUUUUGGAUA